Molecule: small RNA, 176 nt
Filed under: Solanum inodorum
Lineage: Eukaryota; Viridiplantae; Streptophyta; Magnoliopsida; Solanales; Solanaceae
Description: SprA
Source: RNAcentral
UAAUUGAAUAAUUUAACGAUUUCCCUUUCAUAUUUGAUAUUGAUUAGCUCACCAAUCCAUAUGUAAUGGAACUCUAUUCGCUUUUCUAAUUGAUAUAGAAAAUAAUAGAAUUAGGAAAUCCUCUAUUUACUAUUUUCUAUUCCAAGGUGGGGAGUUUGAUUUUCCCCAUCGACCUA